This is a non-coding RNA of Parelaphostrongylus tenuis, 72 nucleotides long. The record is from the annotation of a GenBank genome assembly. NCBI's taxonomy places the organism in Eukaryota, Metazoa, Nematoda, Chromadorea, Rhabditida, Metastrongylidae.
GCGUUUGUGGUCUAAUGGUUAGCACGGAUGCCUUCCAAGCAUUGGACGGGGGUUCGAUUCCACCCAAGCGCA